UCCGGUAUAGCUCAGUUGGUAGAGCACCUGACUGUUAAUCAGGGCGUCGUCAGUUCGAGUCUGACUACCGGAG
Molecule: transfer RNA, 73 nt
Filed under: Limosilactobacillus ingluviei
Lineage: Bacteria; Bacillati; Bacillota; Bacilli; Lactobacillales; Lactobacillaceae
Description: tRNA-Asn
Rfam family: tRNA
About the family: Transfer RNA (tRNA) molecules are approximately 80 nucleotides in length. Their secondary structure includes four short double-helical elements and three loops (D, anti-codon, and T loops). Further hydrogen bonds mediate the characteristic L-shaped molecular structure. tRNAs have two regions of fundamental functional importance: the anti-codon, which is responsible for specific mRNA codon recognition, and the 3' end, to which the tRNAs corresponding amino acid is attached (by aminoacyl-tRNA synthetases). tRNAs cope with the degeneracy of the genetic code in two manners: having more than one tRNA (with a specific anti-codon) for a particular amino acid; and 'wobble' base-pairing, i.e. permitting non-standard base-pairing at the 3rd anti-codon position.
Source: RNAcentral